RNAcentral lists this ribosomal RNA (380 nucleotides) under uncultured bacterium. Its description in RNAcentral is "partial 16S ribosomal RNA". It matches the Rfam family "Bacterial small subunit ribosomal RNA", at positions 540 to 917 of the family's 1533-position model. The record is from RNAcentral.
GUUGGCGGAAUACUGGGCGUAAGCGCGCGCAGGNGGUUNGUUAGUCUGAUGUGAAAGCCCACGGCUCAACCNNGGAGGGUCAUUGGAAACUGGNGGGACUUGAGUGCAUAAGAGGAAAGUGGAAUUCCACGUGUAGCGGUGAAAUGCGUAGAGAUGUGGAGGAACACCAGAUGGCGAAGGCGACUUUCUGGUCUGUAACUGACGACUGAGGCGCGAAAGCGUGGGNAGCAAACAGGAUUAGAUACCCUGGUAGUCCACGCCGUAAACGAUGACUGCUAAGNGUUAGGUGGNUUCCGCCCCUUAUUGCUGCAGCUAACGCAUUAAUCACUCCGCCUGGGGAGUACGGCCGCAAGGCUGAAACUCAAGGGGAAUUUGACGGG